Molecule: long non-coding RNA, 445 nt
Filed under: Trifolium pratense (red clover)
Lineage: Eukaryota; Viridiplantae; Streptophyta; Magnoliopsida; Fabales; Fabaceae
Description: long non-coding RNA (TPRA_LNC001201)
Source: RNAcentral
CCACAUUAAAGAGUUUGAUAUUAUAAUUUUAAAAGAUAAACUCUAAAAAAAAUUCAUCACUUUUAAUUAAUACUACUAUUAUUUUCGAUCACUUUUUAUAAAAGACAUAUAAUUUAAUUCAUAUAAACUAAUUUGUAAUAAAAAUAGUUUACGUAAACUUGUACAUAAAAAAAAAUGUAAGUAAGUUGUUUAUUCAAACAAAUCCAAAGUUGCGCCAAAUAAAAUUCAAGCUAUAAAGUCAAUAACUGCUACUAGUAAUUAUUGUAAAAGAAAAGUUAGUUUAGUUGAUAUAAAGUUGAUUCAUACCUUACAAUGUGAUGAUGUUAAUUUCAAUUUUGUUGUCGGCGUGAAGACCUUGAAAACUAAAAUGACAUCUUAUUUGUAUAACUGAGUUGAGUUCGAACCCUGAACAUCUCAUUUUUCCCGGCUUACUAUAGUAACUAUA